Molecule: ribosomal RNA, 413 nt
Filed under: uncultured bacterium
Lineage: Bacteria
Description: partial 16S ribosomal RNA
Rfam family: Bacterial small subunit ribosomal RNA
Source: RNAcentral
UGGGGGAAUAUUGCACAAUGGGCGCAAGCCUGAUGCAGCCAUGCCGCGUGUGUGAAGAAGGCCUUCGGGUUGUAAAGCACUUUCAGCGAGGAGGAAGGUGGUGAACUUAAUACGUUCAUCAAUUGACGUUACUCGCAGAAGAAGCACCGGCUAACUCCGUGCCAGCAGCCGCGGUAAUACGGAGGGUGCAAGCGUUAAUCGGAAUUACUGGGCGUAAAGCGCACGCAGGCGGUUUGUUAAGUCAGAUGUGAAAUCCCCGGGCUCAACCUGGGAACUGCAUUUGAAACUGGCAAGCUAGAGUCUCGUAGAGGGGGGUAGAAUUCCAGGUGUAGCGGUGAAAUGCGUAGAGAUCUGGAGGAAUACCGGCGGCGAAGGCGGCCCCCCUGGACGAAGACUGACGCUCAGGUGCGAAA